This 432-nucleotide ribosomal RNA is filed under the name uncultured bacterium. RNAcentral describes it as "partial 16S ribosomal RNA". It matches the Rfam family "Bacterial small subunit ribosomal RNA", at positions 29 to 507 of the family's 1533-position model. The record is from RNAcentral.
ACGAACGCUGGCGGCAUGCCUAACACAUGCAAGUCGAACGAGACCUUCGGGUCUAGUGGCGCACUGGUGCGUAACGCGUGGGAACCUGCCCUUAGGUUCGGAAUAACUCCCCGAAAGGGGUGCUAAUACCGGAUAAUGUCUUCGGACCAAAGAUUUAUCGCCUUUGGAUGGGCCCGCGUUGGAUUAGCUAGUUGGUAGGGUAAAAGCCUACCAAGGCGACGAUCCAUAGCUGGUCUGAGAGGAUGAUCAGCCACACUGGGACUGAGACACGGCCCAGACUCCUACGGGAGGCAGCAGUGGGGAAUAUUGGACAAUGGGCGAAAGCCUGAUCCAGCAAUGCCGCGUGAGUGAUGAAGGCCUUAGGGUUGUAAAGCUCUUUUACCCGGGAUGAUAAUGACAGUACCGGGAGAAUAAGCUCCGGCUAACUCCGUG